This 301-nucleotide ribosomal RNA is filed under the name uncultured bacterium. Its description in RNAcentral is "partial 16S ribosomal RNA". It matches the Rfam family "Bacterial small subunit ribosomal RNA", at positions 509 to 807 of the family's 1533-position model. The record is from RNAcentral.
CAGUCGCCACGGGAAUACGAAGGGGGCUAGCGUUGUUCGGAUUUACUGGGCGUAAAGCGCACGUAGGCGGACUUUUAAGUCAGGGGUGGAAUCCCGGGGCUCAACCCCGGAACUGCCUUUGAUACUGGAAGUCUUGAGUAUGGUAGAGGUGAGUGGAAUUCCGAGUGUAGAGGUGAAAUUCGUAGAUAUUCGGAGGAACACCAGUGGCGAAGGCGGCUCACUGGACCAUUACUGACGCUGAGGUGCGAAAGCGUGGGGAGCAAACAGGAUUAGAUACCCCUGUAGUCCCUGUCUCUUAUAC